CCUACGGGGGGCUGCAGUGGGGAAUAUUGGACAAUGGGCGAAAGCCUGAUCCAGCCAUGCCGCGUGUGUGAAGAAGGCCUUCGGGUUGUAAAGCACUUUCAGUGGGGAAGAAAGCCUUGGGGCUAAUACCCUCGAGGAAGGACAUCACCCACAGAAGAAGCACCGGCUAACUCCGUGCCAGCAGCCGCGGUAAUACGGAGGGUGCGAGCGUUAAUCGGAAUUACUGGGCGUAAAGCGCGCGUAGGCGGUCUGAUAAGCCGGUUGUGAAAGCCCCGGGCUCAACCUGGGAACGGCAUCCGGAACUGUCAGGCUAGAGUGCAGGAGAGGAAGGUAGAAUUCCCGGUGUAGUGGUGAAAUGCGUAGAGAUCGGGAGGAAUACCAGUGGCGAAGGCGGCCUUCUGGACUGACACUGACGCUGAGGUGCGAAAGCGUGGGUAGCAAACAGGAUUAGAUACCCUUGUAGUC
RNAcentral lists this ribosomal RNA (465 nucleotides) under Vreelandella stevensii. RNAcentral's name for it is "partial 16S ribosomal RNA". It matches the Rfam family "Bacterial small subunit ribosomal RNA", at positions 338 to 795 of the family's 1533-position model. Lineage: Bacteria; Pseudomonadati; Pseudomonadota; Gammaproteobacteria; Oceanospirillales; Halomonadaceae. The record is from RNAcentral.